Molecule: unclassified non-coding RNA, 263 nt
Filed under: plant metagenome
Description: partial contains small subunit ribosomal RNA, internal transcribed spacer 1, and 5.8S ribosomal RNA
Source: RNAcentral
UUUCCGUAGGUGAACCUGCGGAAGGAUCAUUAUUGUAUAACCGAGGUGCGAGGGCUGUCGCUGACCCGAAAGGUCGUGCACGCCCGAGUGCCCUCACACACAUCCAACUCACCCCUAUGUGCACCACCGCGUGGGUCCCCCUUUGGCUUGUUCGGAGGGGGGCUUACGUCUUCACACAAACUUUGUAUGCAGUGUAGAAUGUAUUUUUUGUUUUUGCGAUCACGCAAUCAAUACAACUUUCAACAACGGAUCUCUUGGCUCUC